CAGUAGCCGCGGUAAUACGAAGGGGGCUAGCGUUGUUCGGAUUUACUGGGCGUAAAGGGCGCGUAGGCGGGCGAUUAAGUCAGAGGUGAAAUCCCAAGGCUCAACCUUGGAACUGCCUUUGAUACUGGUUGUCUUGAGUCCGGGAGAGGUGAGUGGAACUGCGAGUGUAGAGGUGAAAUUCGUAGAUAUUCGCAAGAACACCAGUGGCGAAGGCGGCUCACUGGCCCGGAACUGACGCUGAGGUGCGAAAGCGUGGGGAGCAAACAGGAUUAGAUACCCCUGUAGUCCCUGUCUCUUAUAC
Molecule: ribosomal RNA, 301 nt
Filed under: uncultured bacterium
Lineage: Bacteria
Description: partial 16S ribosomal RNA
Rfam family: Bacterial small subunit ribosomal RNA
Source: RNAcentral